Stegodyphus dumicola is the source of this 1276-nucleotide long non-coding RNA. NCBI's taxonomy places the organism in Eukaryota, Metazoa, Arthropoda, Arachnida, Araneae, Eresidae. The record is from RefSeq and is a predicted model, not a curated record.
CCGGAAUUCACCCGAUUCUCUUUCUGUGAGCAAACAACCCAAAUCCUGGUAUCGCUGUUGUGUUUGUGGGACAACGUCUCGAAAAACACCAGACAGGAAAUUCUUCAGAUUUCCUAAGGAUCCUAUUAGCUUACAGAAUUGAAUGUACUCAUUGGUGGAAUAAUUCUGGAUUAAAGAGAUUUUUGGCAAAUUAAAAUUAUGUAAAAUCCAAGCAUACAGCAUUUUUAGAAUUAUUAUAGGUAUAGUGAAGGUGGAAAAUAGGCAUUUCUUGUAAUUGCUAUUUAAAAGAAUUAAUUUCUAAUUUCAUAAUUUGAAACAAUCUUCAUCAGGAUGAGCUGCAAUAUUUAUUUGAUUCAAUGGAUUAUUUGCAAAACUUCCAAGACUUUUUAAAUGUAAUCUUGUGUUUGUUAAUUUAAGUGAAAUGCUUUUGGCUCUUGGUUGCAAACUUUGCUCUUUUUUCAUAAUGGUCAUUCCAAAUAAUAAUUUUUUUUUUUCUUAAAUUUGAGGUCAGAUAAUUAUAAUGAAUUCAGCGUUUUCAAUUUAUUUAGGGGUACUUGUAAUUGUUUUUAAUUAUUUUUUCUGUUUUGGUUAGUUAUAUGCAAACUUUGCUUGUAAAAUUUUAAAUAUGGAGUUAUAAAAAUUUAUUAUGAAUUGUAUGUUAUGUGUUUUUUAUUUUGUAAGCUUACAGAAUGAAAUGCACUCAUUGGUCGAAUAAUUUGGUAUUAAAUAGAUUUUUGCAAAAUUAAAAUUAUGUAAAAUCCAAGCUACAUCAUUUUUAGAAUUAUUAUAUGUAUAGUGAAGAUGGAAAAUAGUCAUUUUUAUAAUUGCUAUUUAAAAAAAUCAAUUUCUAAUUUCAUAAUUUGAACUAAUCUUCAUCAGGAUGAGCUGCAACAAUAUUUAUUUGAUUGAGUGGAUUAUUUAGAAAAUUUCUUCCCAGGUUUUAAUAACACCUGGAAGGUUUGAUUUUCAAGUUCAGUAUUUAAUCUUAUAUUAAUAAAUGUAAGAAGUAUUGAAUAUUUUAUGAAAAAAUAAUGAAAUCACUUAUUUUAAUAAUUUAUGUGAAAUUCUUCAAAAGGCCUUUUAAGUGUAAUUUUGUAUUUCUUAAUUUAAGUGAAAUGCUUUUGGUUCUUGGCUGCAAAAUUUGCUCAUUGUUUUCAAAAUGGUCAUUCCAAAUAAUUAUCUAAAAAAUUUCUUGGUAUUUGUGAAGAUGCUUAAAAUUAUUUUGCAUAUGUAUAUUCUGAAACUUGAGAAAUGUCAAUAAAAAUCAUUUUUUUAA